GCAAACUGUUCCUUAAGUAGCCUUGAGACCAGAUAGACUGUGUGGUCUUUAUGAAUGAAGGCUAGGCACAUUCCUGUCUGAUAGCUCCAGGUGCAUCAGAACAUGGGCAUCCUUUUUGGCUACCAUCAACCACUCCUUAAAAAGGGGUUCAGAAAUGGUGGCUCAGUUCUUCUUGGGCAUCAACAUCAUGGUGGCUGAAAGAUAUGGGGAAGUGUUUCCAUUUGGCC
RNAcentral lists this long non-coding RNA (227 nucleotides) under Marmota monax (woodchuck). Lineage: Eukaryota; Metazoa; Chordata; Mammalia; Rodentia; Sciuridae. The record is from RNAcentral.